RNAcentral lists this small nuclear RNA (106 nucleotides) under Sitophilus oryzae (rice weevil). Lineage: Eukaryota; Metazoa; Arthropoda; Insecta; Coleoptera; Curculionidae. The record is from RNAcentral.
GUACUCACUUCGGCGGUACAUAUACUAAAAUUGGAACGACACAGAGAAGAUUAGUAUGGCCCCUGCGCAGGAUGACACGCAAAAUCGUGAAGCGUUCCACAUUUUU